RNAcentral lists this transfer RNA (69 nucleotides) under Trematomus bernacchii (emerald rockcod). Its description in RNAcentral is "tRNA-Arg". It matches the Rfam family "tRNA". Rfam says of the family: Transfer RNA (tRNA) molecules are approximately 80 nucleotides in length. The record is from RNAcentral. Lineage: Eukaryota; Metazoa; Chordata; Actinopteri; Perciformes; Nototheniidae.
AGGCAGUUAGUUUAGUAAAAAUAUUUGGUUUCGACCCAAAAGCUUGUGGUUUAAAUCCAUAAUUACCUA